AGGAUGAACGCUGGCGGCGUGCUUAACACAUGCAAGUCGAACGGUGAAGGAGAGCUUGCUCUCCGGAUCAGUGGCGAACGGGUGAGUAACACGUGAGCAAUCUGCCCCUGACUCUGGGAUAAGCGUUGGAAACGACGUCUAAUACCGGAUACGAGCUGCGAAGGCAUCUUCAGCAGCUGGAAAGAACUUCGGUCAGGGAUGAGCUCGCGGCCUAUCAGCUAGUUGGUGAGGUAAUGGCUCACCAAGGCGUCGACGGGUACGCCGGCCUGAGAGGGUGACCGGCCACA
RNAcentral lists this ribosomal RNA (287 nucleotides) under uncultured soil bacterium. RNAcentral describes it as "partial 16S ribosomal RNA". It matches the Rfam family "Bacterial small subunit ribosomal RNA", at positions 26 to 312 of the family's 1533-position model. The record is from RNAcentral.